This 1230-nucleotide long non-coding RNA is filed under the name Mus musculus (house mouse). Its description in RNAcentral is "long non-coding RNA chr7:39207211-39208441". The record is from RNAcentral. Lineage: Eukaryota; Metazoa; Chordata; Mammalia; Rodentia; Muridae.
AAGUGGGAUGGGAUCAGUAAUUAAAAGGUGAAUAUUAUCCUGAUCCUGGCAGUGUUUGCUAUAGGAAGCCAUUGCUUCCUCUGGGAAGAAUUCUUAAGACUGGUGAUGACUGUAAGAAGGAUGGGGACAAAGAACAAAGGAGGGAUAAUCCCAGACUGUACCUCAUGCUUACAGGCAAGGAAGAGAACCCGAAUCCAGGAAGCCAGGGUUCCACAUGUUCUCCAGAGAUAUCCAAGCGGACAAUAUGGCAGCCUCUUCCCAAAAUUGGUCCAGGUUGUAAGUCUUAACCUUGAGACCACAAGUAACCAGGAGAGUUUUCAGAGCCCCAAUCAGGGGUUCCUUGGUGGUAAAGGGGGAGAACCCAUGAUGACAAGCACAAAAGAAACAAAUGAUGAACAUAUGUGACAAAUAUGACAGAAGAAGUGAUGAAAGCCAUGGUGUACUAAGCAGGGGCCUCCCUCAGGUGUAGCUCACAGGUCUUAUGCCUAGAUGGUGUACCCAAGGAAGGAAAAGGCAUUUGGGAGCCAAUCCCUGGUACCAAAACAUGGAAAACCAGUUCCUAUAUCAGAUACCAGGACAAAUCCAGACCAAAAGUGAAAAACAUUCAAAGACAAAGAAGACAGAAAAGAUGGCACCACAGUAAGACCACGCAAAGACAAAGAAGGACAAUAAUGGCCACUGCACACUCACUGCAUGCUGGCUACAUGCUUGCCACAGCAUGCUCACUCAAAAAUGAAGAAAAACAAAAAGAUGGCUACUGCAAAGCUUACUGCACGCUCACCUCACGUGCACCUCAUGCUCCUCUCAUGCUCACCUCACUCUUGUGUCACACUAGUUGCAUGCUUACCUCAUGCUCACUCUUGAACAGAACUGAGAACAAAGGCAAGAUUACUUGGGUGGACAGAAAAGACAAAGAAGUCAGAAAUGAGGUCCAAGCUCUCACCUUCACAGAACCCAGAACAUAAAACACUAAGGGUACAACUCACUGAAGAAGCAACUGAAGGGAGCACAACACCAGCACAGCGAGAAGAGCAGAUCAGGCCAAACCAAGAGCACAGUCCUUGCAGCAACAGGCAAAAUGAGCCACCAGAAAAAGGAGGUUUGCAAGCAGCCACAAAAUGAGAAUAAUGAAGUAGUCCAUCGACCACGUUGGGUGCCAGAUAUGGCUUGUGCUCUGGACAGCUCUCUGACAGACCCUACCUGCUCUUGGGGUUUCAGGACGAUUGGCAC